Molecule: ribosomal RNA, 669 nt
Filed under: uncultured eukaryote
Lineage: Eukaryota
Description: SSU rRNA
Rfam family: Eukaryotic small subunit ribosomal RNA
Source: RNAcentral
UACCCAAUCCCGACUCGGGGAGGUAGUGACAAUAAAUACUGAUACAGGGCUCUUUUGGGUCUUGUAAUUGGAAUGAGUACAAUUUAAAUCCCUUAACGAGGAACAAUUGGAGGGCAAGUCUGGUGCCAGCAGCCGCGGUAAUUCCAGCUCCAAUAGCGUAUAUUAAAGUUGUUGUGGUUAAAAAGCUCGUAGUUGAACCUUGGGCCUGGCUGGCCGGUCCGCCUCACCGCGUGUACUGGUCCGGCCGGGCCUUUCCCUCUGUGGAACCCCAUGCCCUUCACUGGGUGUGGCGGGGAAACAGGACUUUUACUUUGAAAAAAUUAGAGUGCUCCAGGCAGGCCUAUGCUCGAAUACAUUAGCAUGGAAUAAUAAAAUAGGACGUGUGGUUCUAUUUUGUUGGUUUCUAGGACCGCCGUAAUGAUUAAUAGGGACAGUCGGGGGCAUCAGUAUUCAAUUGUCAGAGGUGAAAUUCUUGGAUUUAUUGAAGACUAACUACUGCGAAAGCAUUUGCCAAGGAUGUUUUCAUUAAUCAGGAACGAAAGUUAGAGGAUCGAAGACGAUCAGAUACCGUCGUAGUCUUAACCAUAAACUAUGCCGACUAGGGAUCGGACGAUGUUAUUAUUUGACUCGUUCGGCACCUUACGAGAAAUCAUAGUGCUUGGGCUCCAG